RNAcentral lists this ribosomal RNA (113 nucleotides) under Prevotella sp. The record is from RNAcentral. Lineage: Bacteria; Pseudomonadati; Bacteroidota; Bacteroidia; Bacteroidales; Prevotellaceae.
UCAGGUGGUUAUUGCGGCGGUGUCCCACCUCUUCCCAUUCCGAACAGAGCAGUUAAGCCCGCCUGCGCCGAUGGUACUGCAAUGCAAUGCGGGAGAGUAGGUGGCCGCCUUUU